UACAGAGGGUGCGAGCGUUGUCCGGAAUCACUGGGCGUAAAGGGCACGUAGGCGGCUUGAUAAGCGUGCGGUGAAAGCCCGGGGCUCAACCCCGGGUCGGCCGUGCGAACUGUCGAGCUGGAGCACUGUAGAGGCAGGUGGAAUUCCGGGUGUAGCGGUGGAAUGCGUAGAGAUCCGGAAGAACACCGGUGGCGAAGGCGGCCUGCUGGGCAGUGGCUGACGCUGAGGCGCGACAGCGUGGGGAGCAAACAGG
Molecule: ribosomal RNA, 253 nt
Filed under: uncultured bacterium
Lineage: Bacteria
Description: partial 16S ribosomal RNA
Rfam family: Bacterial small subunit ribosomal RNA
Source: RNAcentral